Molecule: small RNA, 172 nt
Rfam family: Proteobacterial sRNA psRNA2
GGGUGACUCCUUGGCGCUUGCACGCUGUUUUGACGAAGAUUCGCACCUCUAUCAAAACGGGUAACCCCACCUCCUGGCAAGGCCCUACUGUCAGAUCAAGUCUGAACUUCUACACCUUAAGGCCGGAAAUCUCCAAGUCUAGGCGCUCGGCUAGUCGGGGGUAGGUCAGUCG